Molecule: ribosomal RNA, 253 nt
Filed under: uncultured bacterium
Lineage: Bacteria
Description: partial 16S ribosomal RNA
Rfam family: Bacterial small subunit ribosomal RNA
Source: RNAcentral
UACGUAGGUGGCAAGCGUUGUCCGGGUUUAUUGGGUUUAAAGGGUGCGUAGGCGGCCUUAUAAGUCAGUGCUGAAAUAUCCCGGCUUAACCGGGAGGGUGGCAUUGAUACUGUAGGGCUUGAGUGUAGUCGAGGUAGGCGGAAUUGACGGUGUAGCGGUGAAAUGCUUAGAUAUCGUCAAGAACACCGAUAGUGUAGACAGCUUACUAGGCUACAACUGACGCUGAGGCACGAAAGUGUGGGGAUCAAACAGG